Quercus lobata is the source of this 1431-nucleotide long non-coding RNA. RefSeq lists it as uncharacterized. The transcript is spliced from 4 exons. NCBI's taxonomy places the organism in Eukaryota, Viridiplantae, Streptophyta, Magnoliopsida, Fagales, Fagaceae. The record is from RefSeq and is a predicted model, not a curated record.
AGGAAAUCCGGCAAACAGGGGCAGCUGUCACUAAUAGAAGGAGACACGACAGUUGGGGUCAUGUGCGUUAUAGAAGGAGACACGACAGUUGGGGUCAUGUGCAACGCACAUGACCCAUUUAGGCAUGGAGAUGUUAGGGUUAACAGCGUUAGCCACAAUUUCUUCUCUUCUCAAACACACACAGCCCAGCCUCACGCCUCUCUCUCAUCUCCUCCACCUUUGUUUUCUGAGCAAACUCAGACCGGCGAGAUCUUGUGAGGCGAAAUCGACGGCGGCCGCGUGCAGCAGCCGCCGAUCUCACCGGACAACUGACAGCCCCUCUCUCUUAUUUUUUAAAUUAGAAAGAAACCUGGUUUAUAAUAAGAGACAGACUAGUCUAAAUCUAAAUCUAAUACACAGACACAGCCGCAAAGCAAAGCAAAGCAACGCUACUAUGGGAUUCGGACAUUGUCUUUCCCUGCCGAUAGUCCGCCACCUCUACCGGUGAUUGUGGCUGCCAAGCUUGCCGGCCUUGCUCUUCCAAUCGAUACUUCCCUACCUCCUAACUCUGCUCCCACGCUUCUCUUCUCUAAUGGGCAUAAAUUACAUGGAACAUAUGUGCUUCUUCGCUAUAUUGCUCGUGUUGCUAGCCUUCCCAAUUUCUAUGGACAGAAUGCAUAUGAAUCUGGCCAGAUUGAUGAGUGGCUAGAAUAUGCCCCCGUCUUUUCAUUGGGUCCUGCAUUUGAGAAAAUUUAUGUGAUGGUAGUAGUUGGAGCAGCCAAAUUGAAAAGGAAGUUUCAACUACUCAUGACUCUGAAAUAUAACCACUUCAUUCCCAAGUUUUGUUUUCCACUUGCAAGUUGAUGACACCUGAGUUUCUAGCUGACAUCAAGUUGAUAGUAUUUAGCUGGAAGAGCUUGCUUUUCUCUUACUGCCAAUGUAGCUGGACUGGAAGUGCUUGGUUGGACCAUUUUAGCUUUUGCCCAAAUGGGUCUGAGCUAUUUGUUUGUUGGUUGGUCUCACUGGGAAUUAGAGAGGAAAGGAAUUCUCUGGCAUUUCACCAUACUUGUGGUCAAAUUGAGUUUGUGCUACUAGCACUUUGAGAGUAAAGCAGAAAAAUUUGUAAAGUAUAUAAUGACUUGCAGAUGAGGUGAAACUAAAAGCAGAAGUGCAGAAAAUUGAUUGGAAAUUGUAGCCUUGGCUUCCCUCAAUUAUUAUUUUUAUUUUUAUUUUUAUUUUUUGUAAAAAGUGGCUUUUUUUCCUCUUUUGCAUAACCAGUGGCACUUAGUUGGUGAUUUGUGUACAAGUGCAUGGUAGCAUUGAUGUUUUUCAGCAGACUAUCUUUGAUGAUGUAAUGAAUGGAAAUGUAAUGAAUGGAAAGUGUUAUUGAUCGUGUAUUUUUCAAGCUAUGUUGUGUUAUUAUUGUGAGGCAAAUGAGCCUUUUUAAACAAA